RNAcentral lists this ribosomal RNA (2788 nucleotides) under Escherichia coli. RNAcentral's name for it is "bacterial LSU rRNA". It matches the Rfam family "Bacterial large subunit ribosomal RNA". Lineage: Bacteria; Pseudomonadati; Pseudomonadota; Gammaproteobacteria; Enterobacterales; Enterobacteriaceae. The record is from RNAcentral.
AGCGUACACGGUGGAUGCCCUGGCAGUCAGAGGCGAUGAAGGACGUGCUAAUCUGCGAUAAGCGUCGGUAAGGUGAUAUGAACCGUUAUAACCGGCGAUUUCCGAAUGGGGAAACCCAGUGUGUUUCGACACACUAUCAUUAACUGAAUCCAUAGGUUAAUGAGGCGAACCGGGGGAACUGAAACAUCUAAGUACCCCGAGGAAAAGAAAUCAACCGAGAUUCCCCCAGUAGCGGCGAGCGAACGGGGAGCAGCCCAGAGCCUGAAUCAGUGUGUGUGUUAGUGGAAGCGUCUGGAAAGGCGCGCGAUACAGGGUGACAGCCCCGUACACAAAAAUGCACAUGCUGUGAGCUCGAUGAGUAGGGCGGGACACGUGGUAUCCUGUCUGAAUAUGGGGGGACCAUCCUCCAAGGCUAAAUACUCCUGACUGACCGAUAGUGAACCAGUACCGUGAGGGAAAGGCGAAAAGAACCCCGGCGAGGGGAGUGAAAAAGAACCUGAAACCGUGUACGUACAAGCAGUGGGAGCCUCUUUAUGGGGUGACUGCGUACCUUUUGUAUAAUGGGUCAGCGACUUAUAUUCUGUAGCAAGGUUAACCGAAUAGGGGAGCCGAAGGGAAACCGAGUCUUAACUGGGCGUUAAGUUGCAGGGUAUAGACCCGAAACCCGGUGAUCUAGCCAUGGGCAGGUUGAAGGUUGGGUAACACUAACUGGAGGACCGAACCGACUAAUGUUGAAAAAUUAGCGGAUGACUUGUGGCUGGGGGUGAAAGGCCAAUCAAACCGGGAGAUAGCUGGUUCUCCCCGAAAGCUAUUUAGGUAGCGCCUCGUGAAUUCAUCUCCGGGGGUAGAGCACUGUUUCGGCAAGGGGGUCAUCCCGACUUACCAACCCGAUGCAAACUGCGAAUACCGGAGAAUGUUAUCACGGGAGACACACGGCGGGUGCUAACGUCCGUCGUGAAGAGGGAAACAACCCAGACCGCCAGCUAAGGUCCCAAAGUCAUGGUUAAGUGGGAAACGAUGUGGGAAGGCCCAGACAGCCAGGAUGUUGGCUUAGAAGCAGCCAUCAUUUAAAGAAAGCGUAAUAGCUCACUGGUCGAGUCGGCCUGCGCGGAAGAUGUAACGGGGCUAAACCAUGCACCGAAGCUGCGGCAGCGACGCUUAUGCGUUGUUGGGUAGGGGAGCGUUCUGUAAGCCUGUGAAGGUGUGCUGUGAGGCAUGCUGGAGGUAUCAGAAGUGCGAAUGCUGACAUAAGUAACGAUAAAGCGGGUGAAAAGCCCGCUCGCCGGAAGACCAAGGGUUCCUGUCCAACGUUAAUCGGGGCAGGGUGAGUCGACCCCUAAGGCGAGGCCGAAAGGCGUAGUCGAUGGGAAACAGGUUAAUAUUCCUGUACUUGGUGUUACUGCGAAGGGGGGACGGAGAAGGCUAUGUUGGCCGGGCGACGGUUGUCCCGGUUUAAGCGUGUAGGCUGGUUUUCCAGGCAAAUCCGGAAAAUCAAGGCUGAGGCGUGAUGACGAGGCACUACGGUGCUGAAGCAACAAAUGCCCUGCUUCCAGGAAAAGCCUCUAAGCAUCAGGUAACAUCAAAUCGUACCCCAAACCGACACAGGUGGUCAGGUAGAGAAUACCAAGGCGCUUGAGAGAACUCGGGUGAAGGAACUAGGCAAAAUGGUGCCGUAACUUCGGGAGAAGGCACGCUGAUAUGUAGGUGAAGCGACUUGCUCGUGGAGCUGAAAUCAGUCGAAGAUACCAGCUGGCUGCAACUGUUUAUUAAAAACACAGCACUGUGCAAACACGAAAGUGGACGUAUACGGUGUGACGCCUGCCCGGUGCCGGAAGGUUAAUUGAUGGGGUUAGCGGUAACGCGAAGCUCUUGAUCGAAGCCCCGGUAAACGGCGGCCGUAACUAUAACGGUCCUAAGGUAGCGAAAUUCCUUGUCGGGUAAGUUCCGACCUGCACGAAUGGCGUAAUGAUGGCCAGGCUGUCUCCACCCGAGACUCAGUGAAAUUGAACUCGCUGUGAAGAUGCAGUGUACCCGCGGCAAGACGGAAAGACCCCGUGAACCUUUACUAUAGCUUGACACUGAACAUUGAGCCUUGAUGUGUAGGAUAGGUGGGAGGCUUUGAAGUGUGGACGCCAGUCUGCAUGGAGCCGACCUUGAAAUACCACCCUUUAAUGUUUGAUGUUCUAACGUUGACCCGUAAUCCGGGUUGCGGACAGUGUCUGGUGGGUAGUUUGACUGGGGCGGUCUCCUCCUAAAGAGUAACGGAGGAGCACGAAGGUUGGCUAAUCCUGGUCGGACAUCAGGAGGUUAGUGCAAUGGCAUAAGCCAGCUUGACUGCGAGCGUGACGGCGCGAGCAGGUGCGAAAGCAGGUCAUAGUGAUCCGGUGGUUCUGAAUGGAAGGGCCAUCGCUCAACGGAUAAAAGGUACUCCGGGGAUAACAGGCUGAUACCGCCCAAGAGUUCAUAUCGACGGCGGUGUUUGGCACCUCGAUGUCGGCUCAUCACAUCCUGGGGCUGAAGUAGGUCCCAAGGGUAUGGCUGUUCGCCAUUUAAAGUGGUACGCGAGCUGGGUUUAGAACGUCGUGAGACAGUUCGGUCCCUAUCUGCCGUGGGCGCUGGAGAACUGAGGGGGGCUGCUCCUAGUACGAGAGGACCGGAGUGGACGCAUCACUGGUGUUCGGGUUGUCAUGCCAAUGGCACUGCCCGGUAGCUAAAUGCGGAAGAGAUAAGUGCUGAAAGCAUCUAAGCACGAAACUUGCCCCGAGAUGAGUUCUCCCUGACUCCUUGA